UAUUUACGCUCCUUGUCGUGAAUACCCCCCUGAUUUUAACAUAUUUUUAUUAGUUUACUAUUACACUUUUUUAAUGAAAGAUUAGUAUAUUGUUUUGCUUGAUAACAUUUAAUUUUAUUGGCUGGCAACAUAGGAGAGGCAUUAAAAAUUGUGACACAUGUAUGAAAGUGCCAAACGAUGUCCAUAUAUAUUGCAAAUUAAUAUGAAAUUUUCAUUCUUGUUAGCAGAAUACUUUGCAAAUUUGGUAUAAUAAAACAUGGUAUCUGGGAAAAUGCACAAGCCUUUUCUCCUGAUGUCAACAAAUGCGAAAUUCCCGGAAGUGUCGCCUACCGAAACAUCCCCGGAAUCUGUACUGCAUUUUUUAAUUUCUGUCAAAAAUUCCGAAUGAUAUCAUAUUUUCUUUUAGUAUACCUUUCUAUAUUGGUUUUAAGUACUAUUCUCCAAGAGGGGUUCGUAUGUUUUAGUCCUGCAGCAUGAAAACUUCACUUACACGACAUACGUGAAAAAUAUUUCAAGAACUGUUUUUUAAAUAUUCUUAUUUUAGUAUGGGGCAAACAUACAAUGUACGCACUGAUUCCUUGUUCAAAAUCGUAUUUCAGUUAUAUGCAUUGCAGAAAUAAAAGAUGCUAAUCUAUAGGUAAUAGUAAAAUAUUAUUUGGAAAUUACUUGGUACUACGUGUAUACAUGGUUAUUUUCACAUAGCAGCACCGAAACUUUAUAUAAUGUUGUUUAGCUAACAGAUUAUUAUAUUAAAGGUUUGAUUUCAUUAAAUUUGAUAUUGAAGACUGUACAUGUAUUCAUGCAAGAAAUAUUUGGGUAAAUUAACCGUGAUCUAAUUUUUUGAAGUGUUUCUGGAAAUCAAGUUUACUUAAAUCACACAAAGGAUGAGCCUCAUGCAUAACGAACAUUAAUGCUUUUACAAAUGUUGUCAUAUGGAUAUAUGUACUUACAACAGCUUUGAUAUGUACAGGCUAGAAAUUGCUAAAAGAAGUAAGUUGUGUAAAAGUUGAAUGCAACUGAAUCUGUUUUAGCAUACACGCAGAACAUGGAUAUCAUGUAGCAAGUUACAUGAAACCAAAACUAUCUGAAAUAGGCAGAUACUUAUCUAUGAAGUAAAAAUUAUAUCUAUGUGAGGUAUUAGCGUAUCAUAAGCACAUAAGAUAACUUAAAAGUGUAUGUGCUUUUCACGCAGCAAAGAGCAAAGAUAAGAUAGAUAACAGAUUCUUUGGAAACGAGAGCAGUUUAAGGAAAUAUGUUUAUCCACACAGAAGAAAGACCACAUGUGUGUGGGGUGUGUAAGAAAUCAUUUAAGCUAAAAAACAAUUUGAGCAUACAUAUGCUUCUUCACACAGGAGAGAAGCCUCAUGUGUGUGAAAUAUGUAAUAAGUCAUUUACCGAAAAGGUGAUUUAAAGGAUCAUAUACUUGUCCAUAUUGGGGAAAAAUGUCAUGUGUGUAUGAUGUGUAACAAAUCAUUUACACAAAAAGCUUAUUUAAAAAGGCAUAUGUUUAUUCACACGGGAGAGAAACCUCAUGUUUGUGAAAUAUGCAGCAAAUCGUUUAGGAAAAAGAGUAUUUUUAAAAGUACAUAUGCGUAAUCACACAGAAGAAAGACCAUAUGUUUGUCAAUUAUGUAGCAAGUCAUUUAAACAAAAGAGUGGUUUAAUUAUGCAUAUGCGUCUUGAAAAAGGGGAGAAAUCUGUGGUCUGUGAAGUAUGUAAUAAGUCAUUUAGAGAAAAAGGUCAUUUAAAUAUGCAUAUGCUGAUACAUACUGGAGAAAAACCUCAUGUGUGUGAGAUAUGCAACAAGUCAUUCAGACAGAAAGGUGAUUUAAAUAAACAUACACCUCUUCAUACUGGGGAAAAGCCUCAUGUCUGCGAUGUGUGUAAGAGGUCAUUUGGGAUAAAAAGUUAUUUGAAGAGACAUAUGCUCAUUCACACAGAAGAAAAAUCUCAUGUUUGUAUGGUAUGUAAGAAAUCAUUUAGAAAUAAGGGAGAUUUAAGGAGGCAUUUGCUUAUUCACACAGGAGAAAAACCUCAUGUGUGUGAGAUAUGCAAGAAGUCAUAUGGACGAAAAAGUGUUUUGCUAACACAUAUGCAUAUCCACACAAAAGAGAAGUCUCUUGUCCUUUAGAAUAAAAAUUAGUUUAAUGGGAACUUUUGCUUAUGCAUGUGGGAAAGGCUUAUUUGUUCAGAAGAGAAAUUACCUACAUCUGAUAUACUUGUUUGUAGAACUGAGAAUCUUUAUUAUAAAAUUUUGAGCCUAACAAGUCUGCAAACCACAGUUAUUACCAUGGGUAAGAAGCAAGACAGAAGGAGAAGAAAGAAAUCCACAGAGGCUGUUACACAUUUUUUAGAUGAUUUUCACUGUAUUUACAGGAAUGCACUCUGUCACAAAAAAAUAUAUGCAUUCAGAAAGAAACGAACUACAGUAGAAUUCCAAAAAUCCGCAAAGCUUGGGACCAGAGGUUGUGCGGAUUUUAGGAUUUCAGGACAGAAAAGAUAAAACAUAAUAUUCAGACUAAAGAUGGUGAAUUAUGCAUUAUGAUUUAUUACAGCAAAGUUCUGUAAUAUCUCUUUUAUGGCUGGUAGAAGUAACUCUCCAAUAGUAUGUGCUUCUUCUGAUUGUGCAAUAAGUAAAACAUUAUUGUAAGAAGUAUGCGACCCAGCUUCAUCUGGUACCGUUAAAAAGAAAUUGGGUUGUUUUAUAAACUUCUUUGUGAGUUUUUGAAAAUAAUGCAAAUAUUUGUCCUUUUAACACAGAUGAUCUUGGAGUCUGGAAGUAUUCAUAGCUUCAUUUGAGAAAACCUUCUUGAUGUAUUAGACACACAGGUACAAGGUUUGAUUCAAAAUACGUGCCGAAUCAAUGCUCUUUAAUUCAAACCUUUACAAUUGGCAUUCACUGCCCAACAUUCUAAGGAAGUCAAGCAAUAAAUCAAGACAAAAAUAAAGGCCAGUUUAAGGAACUUCUGAUGCAGGGUUGUCAGAGGCCGCAGACUGCGUGUGACCCAAGAAGCAACCAUGAAGAGCAAAAGAAAUAUCAAGACUCCACUCCACUGAUACAAUUUAAUGUUGUCGAUGGUGUUCGAGGCUGGCUUUUAACAUGAUGAGCCAGGUUAUUUAAUAGUCCAUGUUGGAGUAAAAUAAAAUACAUUUUUAGUGGAGUUACGAUUCCAAAUCUUCAUUUGACUUAUGCAUGAAGUGAUUAUCUUCAUUUUGAUAUUAUUGUUUGUAUGUUGCUAUUGUGCAUCUAUGUUCUUGUUAUAAAAAAUGAAAGGAUUCUAUGUUGAUGAUGUCAUUAUAUUAAAAAAAUAUGUUUUUA
Unclassified non-coding RNA from Stegodyphus dumicola, 3319 nucleotides. NCBI's taxonomy places the organism in Eukaryota, Metazoa, Arthropoda, Arachnida, Araneae, Eresidae. The record is from RefSeq and is a predicted model, not a curated record.